Molecule: ribosomal RNA, 497 nt
Filed under: uncultured bacterium
Lineage: Bacteria
Description: partial 16S ribosomal RNA
Rfam family: Bacterial small subunit ribosomal RNA
Source: RNAcentral
GAUGAACGCUGGCGGCGUGCCUAAUACAUGCAAGUCGAGCGAACAGACGAGGAGCUUGCUCCUCUGACGUUAGCGGCGGACGGGUGAGUAACACGUGGAUAACCUACCUAUAAGACUGGGAUAACUUCGGGAAACCGGAGCUAAUACCGGAUAAUAUAUUGAACCGCAUGGUUCAAUAGUGAAAGACGGUUUUGCUGUCACUUAUAGAUGGAUCCGCGCCGCAUUAGCUAGUUGGUAAGGUAACGGCUUACCAAGGCAACGAUGCGUAGCCGAUCUGAGAGGAUGAUCGGCCACACUGGAACUGAGACACGGACCAGACUCCUACGGGAGGCAGCAGUAGGGAAUCUUCCGCAAUGGGCGAAAGCUUGACGGAGCAACGCCGCGUGAGUGAUGAAGGUCUUCGGAUCGUAAAACUCUGUUAUUAGGGAAGAACAAAUGUGUAAGUAACUAUGCACGUCUUGACGGUACCUAAUCAGAAAGCCACGGCUAACUACGUG